CCCACGGGCAUGCCUCAGUACGGCGAGUGAGCGGCAAGAGCUCAAAUUUGAAAGCUGGCUCCUUCGGAGUCCGCAUUGUAAUUUGCAGAGGAUGCUUUGGGUGCGGCCCCCGUCUAAGUGCCCUGGAACGGGCCGUCAGAGAGGGUGAGAAUCCCGUCUUGGGCGGGGUGUCCGUGCCCGUGUAAAGCUCCUUCGACGAGUCGAGUUGUUUGGGAAUGCAGCUCUAAAUGGGUGGUAAAUUUCAUCUAAAGCUAAAUACUGGCCGGAGACCGAUAGCGCACAAGUAGAGUGAUCGAAAGAUGAAAAGCACUUUGAAAAGAGAGUUAAACAGCACGUGAAAUUGUUGAAAGGGAAGCGCUUGCGACCAGACUCGCCCGCGGGGUUCAGCCGGCAUUCGUGCCGGUGUACUUCCCCGUGGGCGGGCCAGCGUCGGUUUGGGCGGCCGGUCAAAGGCCCCUGGAAUGUAGUACCCUCCGGGGUACCUUAUAGCCAGGGGUGCAAUGCGGCCAGCCUGGACCGAGGAACGCGCUUCGGCACGGACGCUGGCAUAAUGGUCGUAAACGACCCGUCUUGAAACACGGACCAA
Molecule: ribosomal RNA, 586 nt
Filed under: Aspergillus luchuensis
Lineage: Eukaryota; Fungi; Ascomycota; Eurotiomycetes; Eurotiales; Aspergillaceae
Description: partial large subunit ribosomal RNA
Rfam family: Eukaryotic large subunit ribosomal RNA
Source: RNAcentral